This 667-nucleotide ribosomal RNA is filed under the name uncultured bacterium. RNAcentral describes it as "bacterial SSU rRNA". It matches the Rfam family "Bacterial small subunit ribosomal RNA", at positions 56 to 719 of the family's 1533-position model. The record is from RNAcentral.
UGCAGUCGAACGGCAGCGCGGGAGCAAUCCUGGCGGCGAGUGGCGAACGGGUGAGUAAUACAUCGGAACGUGCCCAAUCGUGGGGGAUAACGCAGCGAAAGCUGUGCUAAUACCGCAUACGAUCUACGGAUGAAAGCAGGGGAUCGCAAGACCUUGCGCGAAUGGAGCGGCCGAUGGCAGAUUAGGUAGUUGGUGAGGUAAAGGCUCACCAAGCCUUCGAUCUGUAGCUGGUCUGAGAGGACGACCAGCCACACUGGGACUGAGACACGGCCCAGACUCCUACGGGAGGCAGCAGUGGGGAAUUUUGGACAAUGGGCGAAAGCCUGAUCCAGCCAUGCCGCGUGCAGGAUGAAGGCCUUCGGGUUGUAAACUGCUUUUGUACGGAACGAAACGGUCUUUUCUAAUAAAGAAGGCUAAUGACGGUACCGUAAGAAUAAGCACCGGCUAACUACGUGCCAGCAGCCGCGGUAAUACGUAGGGUGCAAGCGUUAAUCGGAAUUACUGGGCGUAAAGCGUGCGCAGGCGGUUAUGUAAGACAGUUGUGAAAUCCCCGGGCUCAACCUGGGAACUGCAUCUGUGACUGCAUAGCUAGAGUACGGUAGAGGGGGAUGGAAUUCCGCGUGUAGCAGUGAAAUGCGUAGAUAUGCGGAGGAACACCGAUGGCGAA